Molecule: non-coding RNA, 2165 nt
Organism: Macaca mulatta (Rhesus monkey)
Lineage: Eukaryota; Metazoa; Chordata; Mammalia; Primates; Cercopithecidae
Source: RefSeq, a predicted model, not a curated record
AUUACCUCUUGAAAUGCUUCAUGAUCAUAUAAUUGGGACUAAGUAGAAAGUAAAUGCACCUAAGUUGAAUGGUUGCUGCUCACCAACUACAUAAUUAUUGUCAGGGAGGUUAAAAUACAGAAUGUCUGUCAACUUUAAAAGAAGUACACAUGGAGGGCAGUGGUGGGGAAGAUGGAAAUCACAGCUGGAGGUAAUGAUUACUCUGAGUGUCUUGCUACAGCAAACAUAGCAUUUAGAAAUUCAUGAACAUUCCUUUUAAAUGUUGAAAACUCUUUGCAAAACAAACCACACAUUAACUAAAGCACUGAUGACUGCACUGCCUACACACUAAGCCACCCAUAAUUUUGGGAAAGGUUAUUUCUAUGCAACUUCAAAAGAAACUACCAUGAAUCUUUUGUUUCAGAAAUUGGCUUUGGUGACAAAUAAGUUUGAGAUAAAUAAUACAUCUAGUUCUGCUUCUCUGACAUUUAAUAUGCAGUGCCAUGCCACAUAAUUUUCUUGUUUACUUUUUAAAUUUAAGUGUAAUAUAUAGCCAAGAUUAUAUAUCCUUUCCAGUAUAUAUCCAAUAUAUAAAAAUGUGGUCAUACAUUGCUAAAUAAUGCACAGUUCAUGACUGAUACUUUCUGGAGUCUCUCAUUAAACGUUAAUCGCCCCAGACUCGCUGUUUUCAAAUCAAUUUGGGUUAAUAAGCCCCUGUUUAUGGGAGAAUAAUUAACCCUCUAGUUUAUUCAAUAAGAAAGUAGGUUUUCUCACAUCCGUUCCUGUCCACAUGCUCCUCUGCUGUUCUGGCUGCUACCAGGAGUAGCUUUCACUGUACACUCCGUUGUCCCCCUGUAACACAGGAAGGCAUCCUCCUAAGCUGGCAGUAACUGAAGGACAAAGAUGAACAAACCACAAUUUCUUUCAUUUUCCCAACUCCUGAUCUGGUGGCAAUACCUCACACAAGCCCUUGGACUUUACUUCUGAGUUAUUUAUUACUGUGACUGAUUCUGCACAUAAUUUUGGAUUCCAUCUUUCCCAUGAUUCUUAGUUGUCACCAUUGCAACACAUCUGAAAAUGCUCUAUGUUGAAUUCUACUAAAAACAGAUAUAGAAAACACACUCGCACACAUACAGCAAAUUGCCUAAAAAUUCAAGAGAAUACGGUCUCAUGGCUAAACAUCUGGCUUAUUGCUGGGAAAAAGGCAAAGGAACAACCAAUACUUUUAUGAAUAAAAGGAUUUUAACAGAAGAUACCUUUAGAACAUUUUUUUUCCACUAAAUGAUAAUGCUGUCAACAAUUCACUCAUGUACAGAGAAAAGAGUGUUCAUGGAUGGAGACACCUGCUACUCCAAGAGCUGAGGGUAUCUGCGUCUUGGCCCAUCUGUAACCCAUUCCCAACAGUCAAGUCUGGAUGCUAUGCCUUAGGGAUUAUUACCAGGACUGGCUUCAUUUAAAGUUUCUAAAAGAAACCUGAAAGAUGAAGUGCCCCAUAAAAUCUUCAAGUUCACAGAUGACACUAAGCUUCUCUGGGUAAUUAAGUGUCAAGCUGAUAAGAAUAAACUGCAGAAAAAUCUUUCUUGCUUGUGUGUGAGGUCAGGACACAGAAGAUGAACAGCACUAUGGGAGUGUGAAUAUGGUAGAAUAAGAAAAAAUAACCAUAUUUAUAUCAUGAUGACUCUUGAGCAUCAGUGAUGACACAUAAUAAAGAUUUGUGAGUCAUUAUUAUCUUCUCUUUCUGGAGAGCUCCACCUGAUGUCUAUGGUGGCAAACACAGUUGCUAUUAUUCUGUGAAUCAUCAGAGAUGCUGCUGCAAAUAUAGCAGAAACAUCAGUAAUUCAAACACUUUCGUAGGUGUUAUUUUGUUUAAUUCUCAAAACAAUACUGUAAGAUGACUUCUAGUGCCUUUUACAAAUGAGGAAAGUGAGAGUUACGAAGUGACUUAUCCUUGCAUCAAAGCAUAGGACUCUGCAAUUGGUUCUGGUUGCUGUACCAAAAGAAAGUGAAUUGAAAAAUAUUCAUAAAUGGACAUAUAAGUAAGGACAAGAACCAAAGAGAGGAAGAGAUUUUUAGAAGAGCAUAUACUUUAUCCUUUUUUAAAAAGAAGAAAUCCUUGAUCUGGAAAAAAAUGAUUUGAAUACUGAAUGUAAUAUGGCUUGAAUAAAGUUCUAGAAUUCUAGAUUUAA